This 73-nucleotide transfer RNA is filed under the name Aequorivita lipolytica. Its description in RNAcentral is "tRNA-Arg". It matches the Rfam family "tRNA", at positions 14 to 71 of the family's 71-position model. From Rfam's summary of the family: Transfer RNA (tRNA) molecules are approximately 80 nucleotides in length. Their secondary structure includes four short double-helical elements and three loops (D, anti-codon, and T loops). Lineage: Bacteria; Pseudomonadati; Bacteroidota; Flavobacteriia; Flavobacteriales; Flavobacteriaceae. The record is from RNAcentral.
AGCAUUAAGAUAGUUUGUGAGGAGCAUCUGCCUUCUAAGCAGACGGUCGAAGGUUCGAAUCCUUCUGCGACCA